UUUUGAAAGAUUUCUUCGGAAUGAAUUUGAUUUAGUUUAGUGGCGGACGGGUGAGUAACGCGUGAGUAACCUGCCUUCAAGAGGGGGAUAACAUUCUGAAAAGAAUGCUAAUACCGCAUGACAUAUCGGAACCACAUGGUUUUGAUAUCAAAGAUUUUAUCGCUUGAAGAUGGACUCGCGUCCGAUUAGUUAGUUGGUGAGGUAACGGCUCACCAAGACCGCGAUCGGUAGCCGGACUGAGAGGUUGAACGGCCACAUUGGGACUGAGACACGGCCCAGACUCCUACGGGAGGCAGCAGUGGGGGAUAUUGCGCAAUGGGGGCAACCCUGACGCAGCAACGCCGCGUGAAGGAUGAAGGUUUUCGGAUUGUAAACUUCUUUUAUUAAGGACGAAAACUGACGGUACUUAAUGAAUAAGCUCCGGCUAACUACGUGCCAGCAGCCGCGGUAAUACGUAGGGAGCAAGCGUUGUCCGGAUUUACUGGGUGUAAAGGGUGCGUAGGCGGCUUUGCAAGUCAGAUGUGAAAUCUAUGGGCUCAACCCAUAAACUGCAUUUGAAACUGUAGAGCUUGAGUGAAGUAGAGGCAGGCGGAAUUCCCCGUGUAGCGGUGAAAUGCGUAGAGAUGGGGAGGAACACCAGUGGCGAAGGCGGCCUGCUGGGCUUUAACUGACGCUGAGGCACGAAAGCGUGGGUAGCAAACAGGAUUAGAUACCCUGGUAGUCCACGCUGUAAACGAUGAUUACUAGGUGUGGGGGG
RNAcentral lists this ribosomal RNA (757 nucleotides) under uncultured bacterium. RNAcentral describes it as "bacterial SSU rRNA". It matches the Rfam family "Bacterial small subunit ribosomal RNA", at positions 64 to 829 of the family's 1533-position model. The record is from RNAcentral.